This 253-nucleotide ribosomal RNA is filed under the name uncultured bacterium. RNAcentral describes it as "partial 16S ribosomal RNA". It matches the Rfam family "Bacterial small subunit ribosomal RNA", at positions 524 to 776 of the family's 1533-position model. The record is from RNAcentral.
UACAGAGGUCUCAAGCGUUGUCCGGAAUCAUUGGGCGUAAAGCGCGUGUAGGCGGCCCGAUAAGUCCGCUGUGAAAGUCCAGGGCUCAACCCUGGGAUGCCGGUGGAUACUGUCGGGCUCGAGUCCGGAAGAGGCGAGUGGAAUUCCUGGUGUAGCGGUGAAAUGCGCAGAUAUCAGGAGGAACACCAAUUGCGAAGGCAGCUCGCUGGGACGUAACUGACGCUGAGACGCGAAAGCGUGGGGAGCAAACAGG